GACGAACGCUGGCGGCGUGCUUAACACAUGCAAGUCGAACGGAAAGGCCCUGCUUUUGUGGGGUUCUCGAGUGGCGAACGGGUGAGUAACACGUGAGUAACCUGCCCUUGACUUUGGGAUAACUUCAGGAAACUGGGGCUAAUCCCGGAUAGGAGCUCCUGCUGCAUUGUGAGCGUUGGAUAGUUUCGGCGGUUGGGGAUGGACUCGCGGCUUAUCAGCUUGUUGGUGGGGUAGUGGCUUACCCAGGCUUUGACGGGUAGCCGGCCUGAGAGGGUGAACGGGCACAAUGGGACUGAGAGACGGCCCAGACUCCUACGGGAGGCAGUAGUGGGGAAUAUUGCACAAUGGGCGGAAGCCUGAUGCAGCAACGCCGCGUGCGGGAAGACGGCCUUCGGGGUGUAAACCGCUUUCGCCUGUGACGAAGCGUGAGUGACGGUAAUGAGUAAAGAAGCACCGGCUAACUACGUG
This 468-nucleotide ribosomal RNA is filed under the name uncultured bacterium. Its description in RNAcentral is "partial 16S ribosomal RNA". It matches the Rfam family "Bacterial small subunit ribosomal RNA", at positions 28 to 507 of the family's 1533-position model. The record is from RNAcentral.